This 1084-nucleotide ribosomal RNA is filed under the name Salmonella enterica. RNAcentral's name for it is "partial 23S ribosomal RNA". It matches the Rfam family "Bacterial large subunit ribosomal RNA", at positions 711 to 1785 of the family's 2925-position model. Lineage: Bacteria; Pseudomonadati; Pseudomonadota; Gammaproteobacteria; Enterobacterales; Enterobacteriaceae. The record is from RNAcentral.
AGACCCGAAACCCGGUGAUCUAGCCAUGGGCAGGUUGAAGGUUGGGUAACACUAACUGGAGGACCGAACCGACUAAUGUUGAAAAAUUAGCGGAUGACCUGUGGCUGGGGGUGAAAGGCCAAUCAAACCGGGAGAUAGCUGGUUCUCCCCGAAAGCUAUUUAGGUAGCGCCUCGUGAAUUCAUCUCCGGGGGUAGAGCACUGUUUCGGCUAGGGGGCCAUCCCGGCUUACCAACCCGAUGCAAACUGCGAAUACCGGAGAAUGUUAUCACGGGAGACACACGGCGGGUGCUAACGUCCGUCGUGAAGAGGGAAACAACCCAGACCGCCAGCUAAGGUCCCAAAGUCAUGGUUAAGUGGGAAACGAUGUGGGAAGGCCCAGACAGCCAGGAUGUUGGCUUAGAAGCAGCCAUCAUUUAAAGAAAGCGUAAUAGCUCACUGGUCGAGUCGGCCUGCGCGGAAGAUGUAACGGGGCUAAACCAUGCACCGAAGCUGCGGCAGCGACACUCAGGUGUUGUUGGGUAGGGGAGCGUUCUGUAAGCCUGCGAAGGUGGCCUGUGAGGGUUGCUGGAGGUAUCAGAAGUGCGAAUGCUGACAUAAGUAACGAUAAAGCGGGUGAAAAGCCCGCUCGCCGGAAGACCAAGGGUUCCUGUCCAACGUUAAUCGGGGCAGGGUGAGUCGACCCCUAAGGCGAGGCCGAAAGGCGUAGUCGAUGGGAAACGGGUUAAUAUUCCCGUACUUGGUGUUACUGCGAAGGGGGGACGGAGAAGGCUAUGUUGGCCGGGCGACGGUUGUCCCGGUUUAAGCGUGUAGGUGUGUGUUCCAGGUAAAUCCGGUUCACUUUAACACUGAGGCGUGAUGACGAGGCACUACGGUGCUGAAGCAACAAAUGCCCUGCUUCCAGGAAAAGCCUCUAAGCAUCAGGUAACAUCAAAUCGUACCCCAAACCGACACAGGUGGUCAGGUAGAGAAUACCAAGGCGCUUGAGAGAACUCGGGUGAAGGAACUAGGCAAAAUGGUGCCGUAACUUCGGGAGAAGGCACGCUGACAUGUAGGUGAAGUGAUUUACUCAUGGAGCUGAAGUCA